AGACAGUCAAGCUCGUACACAUCAGCUCUGAGAAACCUCAUAUUUAGUCUGACUACUCUACAUCAAGGCAUUGUUCAGACAGGCAGCAAUUCUGUGUUUAUUUUUCCUGUAUUCUCAGCAAACAAGAAUAAACCUAUCCUCAAGUAAUUUCA
This is a non-coding RNA of Pimephales promelas (fathead minnow), 152 nucleotides long. Lineage: Eukaryota; Metazoa; Chordata; Actinopteri; Cypriniformes; Leuciscidae. The record is from RefSeq and is a predicted model, not a curated record.